RNAcentral lists this ribosomal RNA (486 nucleotides) under uncultured Methanosaeta sp. RNAcentral's name for it is "bacterial SSU rRNA". It matches the Rfam family "Archaeal small subunit ribosomal RNA", at positions 852 to 1338 of the family's 1478-position model. Lineage: Archaea; Methanobacteriati; Methanobacteriota; Methanomicrobia; Methanotrichales; Methanotrichaceae. The record is from RNAcentral.
AAACUCAAAGGAAUUGACGGGGAGCACCACAACGGGUGGAGCUUGCGGUUUAAUUUGGAUUCAACGCCGGAAAUCUUACCGGGACCGACAGCAAUAUGAAGGCCAGGCUGAAGACUUUGCCGGAUUAGCUGAGAGGUGGUGCAUGGCCGUCGUCAGUUCGUACUGUGAAGCAUCCUGUUAAGUCAGGCAACGAGCGAGACCCACGCCCACAGUUGCCAGCGUACUCUCUGGAGUGACGGGUACACUGUGGGACCGCCGCUGCUAAAGCGGAGGAAGGAAUGGGCAACGGUAGGUCAGUAUGCCCCGAAUAUCCCGGGCUACACGCGAGCUACAAUGGUUGGUACAAUGGGUAUCUACCCCGAAAGGGGACGGGAAUCUCCUAAAACCAAUCUUAGUUCGGAUUGAGGGCUGCAACUCGCCCUCAUGAAGCUGGAAUCCGUAGUAAUCGCGUUUCAACAGAACGCGGUGAAUACGUCCCUGCUCCUU